RNAcentral lists this long non-coding RNA (455 nucleotides) under Salvia miltiorrhiza (redroot sage). RNAcentral describes it as "long non-coding RNA (SMIL_LNC011399)". The record is from RNAcentral. Lineage: Eukaryota; Viridiplantae; Streptophyta; Magnoliopsida; Lamiales; Lamiaceae.
UCAUUUGGUCUUUUAUGGGUUGUAUCGUGGCUUACGGCAUAAGGUAGGAAUUUUUAGUACGAGGCUAAGGUCAUUCUGAACUUCAUUUUGGGCAACAGACUUCCCAGAUUUUUAAGAUCCAUACCUAUUCUUGCGGGCCUAAGUACAUACUAACCAAGACAUUAACUUUUUUUUUUCUCUUUUUUUUUCUUUUAUUUCUUUUUCUUUUUCUGGACUUUUUCUCUAUUUUGGGAUUAGAUGUCCCAUUUCACAAUUUUUGCACUAGUCCUGCCCAUAGGAUCCACUACAUUAUCUCCUCUUCUUUUGCCCUUAAGUUCAGUUUGACCGGGACGGCUCAAAUCUAGGCAAAUUUAUAAGUGAAUUCAAAUGAAUUAUUAAGCUCAAGAGGGUUUGCAAGUGAUAGAUGUAGGGUUGGUCAGUUUGGCUUUGUGGGCUAAAGAAAGAAUUGCCUAAAU